CCUACGGGAGGCAGCAGUGAGGAAUAUUGGUCAAUGGGCGGAAGCCUGAACCAGCCAAGUCGCGUGAGGGAAUAAGGCCCUACGGGUCGUAAACCUCUUUUGCCGGGGAGCAAGGGCGGGGACGUGUCCCGGCCCGGCGAGUACCCGGAGAAAAAGCAUCGGCUAACUCCGUGCCAGCAGCCGCGGUAAUACGGAGGGUGAGAGCGUUAUCCGGAUUUAUGGGGGGUAAAGGGUGCGUAGGCGGGGUGUUACGUUAGGGGUAAAAAUUCGGGGCCAAAACCCGUACGGCCGUUGAAACUGGACGGCUGGAGUGGAGGAGAGGUAAGUGGAAUGCGUAGUGUAGCGGUGAAAUGCGUAGAUAUCAGGAGGAACACCAGUGGCGAAGGCGGCUUACCGG
RNAcentral lists this ribosomal RNA (397 nucleotides) under uncultured bacterium. Its description in RNAcentral is "partial 16S ribosomal RNA". It matches the Rfam family "Bacterial small subunit ribosomal RNA", at positions 338 to 732 of the family's 1533-position model. The record is from RNAcentral.